UGUGCUUACAAGUAGUCAGAGCCCGUUAAUGGGUGAUGGCGUGCCUUUUUUAGAAUGAACCGGCGAGUUACGAUUUGAUGCAAGGUUAAGCAGUAAAUGUGGAGCCGUAGCGAAAGCGAGACUGAAUAGGGCGUUUAGUAUUUGGUCGUAGACCCGAAACCAGGUGAUCUACCCUUGGUCAGGUUGAAGAUCAGGUAACACUGAAUGUAGGACCGAACCGACUUACGA
RNAcentral lists this ribosomal RNA (228 nucleotides) under Staphylococcus aureus. RNAcentral's name for it is "partial 23S ribosomal RNA". It matches the Rfam family "Bacterial large subunit ribosomal RNA", at positions 559 to 789 of the family's 2925-position model. The record is from RNAcentral. Lineage: Bacteria; Bacillati; Bacillota; Bacilli; Caryophanales; Staphylococcaceae.